GAUGAAGAACGUAGCGAAAUGCGAUAAGUAGUGUGAAUUGCAGAAUUCAGUGAAUCAUCGAAUCUUUGAACGCACCUUGCGCCCUUUGGCUAUUCCGAAGGGCAUGCCUGUUUGAGUAUCGUGAACACCUCAACUCUCAUGGUUUGCCAUGAUGAGCUUGGACUUGGGGGUUUUGCUGGCCUUCGGUCGGCUCCUCUCAAACGGAUCAGCUUUCCAGUGUUUGGUGGCGUCACGGGUGUGAUAACUAUCUACGCCUGUGGUUUUCUGCCAGAUAACCUUCAGCGAUGGAGGUUCGCUGGGGCUCAUAAAUGUCUCUCUUCAGUGGAGACAGCUUUUUGGACGUUUGAUCUCAAAUCAGGUAGGACUACCCGCUGAACUUAAGCAUAUCAAUAACGGAGGA
Molecule: unclassified non-coding RNA, 400 nt
Filed under: soil metagenome
Description: partial contains 5.8S ribosomal RNA, internal transcribed spacer 2, and large subunit ribosomal RNA
Rfam family: 5.8S ribosomal RNA (bases 1-121)
Source: RNAcentral